This 700-nucleotide small RNA is filed under the name Histoplasma ohiense. RNAcentral describes it as "hypothetical lncRNA". Lineage: Eukaryota; Fungi; Ascomycota; Eurotiomycetes; Onygenales; Ajellomycetaceae. The record is from RNAcentral.
ACCCGGAUUUAUGCUCAGACAACCGAUUAUUUCCCCAGAUAUUGGGUUACAUUUAAAAAAGAAACGCCUUUCCAUAGUAUAUAUGGCGUUAUGACAACUCUCAGACACAUCCUGUGGGAGUCUCAGUCAGCUUCAGCUGGAUAACGAAAGCCGCGGAUAUCUCUAGCAGGGUUGUUGUCUCCCUGCCUCAGGAGUCGAAUUCCCACUUGGAGUCGGAGGAGGACGACAUUCUGUGAUAGCCAUUGUAUCCAAAGACCAGAGGCUACACAGAAUGGUGAGUCUGAGCACUUCAGACAUGGGUUCACGUUUGGAUGAAGAAGAGAAUCUCUCUCUUUUGAAAGAAACUGAACACAAAAUUCCUAACCGACAACAUUUCCGGAGUUUGAAUCAUUUUGUUGUCUCAAUUGUGUUGGGUAUCUCUGUGUUUUGCAAUUUCAUACUUCUUGCAGAACAGUUCAAACCCCGAAAUCUGGAUAAAAUAUGCAGCAGACACACCACUCAAUAUUCUUCGCCUAUUUUGAAGGAUGUUGAUAUAACGUAUGAAUCUGUCCUCUUCAAUGGCUCUUUCACGAAAGAAUCGAUUUACCGACAACCACCAGGGCCACUGGUCGAUGAAGCAUGGCUCGCUCUCGGCACGCGUUUCGCGUCAGUGCUUGUUCCGGAGGAUGAAGCAGAAAAAUAUGGAAUUAAACAAGGGCAG